UCUUCCUUGAGGGGCACGCAGCACUCAUCCACUCUGGAAGGACGCCACAGAGGAAGGGCGGAGCAGAGAUGGGUUCUCACGACGCAUCCCACCUGCACAAACCUUCAGAACCUCCUGGCUUCCGGAACCGUGAAAACCAUUUUUGCUGUUCUUUUUGCUCUACCCCCCCCCCCCCCCCCGUCUGGAAUGUUUUGUUAGGACAGUGUAGGUGAAGGUCAGCCGAGAGGCUACUAACAUUUGUGCCUUGUUUUUUAACUUGAGUUCCCUUGCUCGUGGGCAAAACGCCCUGGCGUGAGACUGCAGAGCUGAAUGCUGCCGUGUGCUUAGCUUAUUAAGAAACUGACAGGACCCGGAUGAGCCGGUCACAUGGUGGCAGCUCUGAAGCCGGUAAGCCAAUGAUAAUUUGUUACAGGGCUGGGUUAUUCACAGCAGACUGUGCUCUAUAUUGCUUAUUUUUAAGGCAAGUCCUUAAAGUUGUUAGGUUACACACGAGCUGUGCAUCACCUUUCUUUCCUUGCAGAUGGUCUCUAUUUUCACAUUCCAUUCCUGAGUAUGAAGUCACAGUGAUUGGGCCCCUGCCUGGGCUCUGUUCCGACCGGGCCUUCAGCCUGUGUGCUUAGAACGGGAGGCAUUUCCAUGUCCUAUUUACACUCAUUUGGAUAGCAGAACAUUCUAAGUUCCAAUGAGAACACACUAGGCUCUUAACAAUAGAGAUACCAUAUUGGACCGAUAAUGGGUUUCUUCGGGAAACCUGAUGAUAAAACUCCCAAACAUUCAAUAUUCACCCGAAUUUCCAACUGUCUCCGUUUCUCUGUCAUGAGACACAUCAAAUGGCACAGAGAAUUUGAAAUUAAAAAUCCGAAGAAUGUGGAAAACCAGCACAAAUACCAGAUAAGCACAUAGAGAAUUGUGGAAUCCUCUAAGCUUUUAUAAGAAGAAUCAGAAAAGUCUGAGAAAUCAAAGCAGAUGGAGAAUCAUCAGUACAUGGCAACAUGAACUUAAAGGAAGGUAUUGGUUUUGUCCAUUUCAGCUUCCCCAGCUCCUUGCCCUCCACAACUGCACUCAUGAGGAACUAGACACAUUUCACUAUAAAGCUUCACUACACAUCUUGCCCCUUGCACUUUUGCAGGAAAUAGUUAGACCAACUCAGCCACAUAACAUAGUCUGUUGUUUACUAUUGAAAAACUGUUCCAACAUCUGUUUACACACCUUCCUCACGGUGAAUUUAUAUUGUUUACUGGCAGGAUCUUCCCAACACUGGUGCCUUGUUUGUAUUUUCUAUUUGCCUUUCUCACGACCCUGUUAUUUCUUUCAUUUUUCAUUUCCAAUCCCCCGACAGUUUAGAAGCUCUAUAUUGUAUUUUACACGUUAAACAUUACCCUUAAGCUAACUUUCUAGAUACUGAACGGCAUGUUUCUCUGUAAGUGCAUGAAGUUCUUCAGUAUUUUUGUCUUCAUCCCUUAUAAGACACAACCUCAUGAUGAUACAGUUAUUUGUUCAACAACUUCUGUUAUUUUUUAAAAUUUAGUUUUAAAUUGAAAUUUUAUUUCAACACACACACAGGUAUGCACAUACAUGCAGAUGCUCACACACACCACACACACACACACACACACACACACACACACACACACAUGCAUGCAUGGGACGGGGGUUUGGAGAGACAGCUCAGUUGGUAAAGAACUUGCCAUGUAAUCGUGAGGACCUGAGUUCAGACCCCUGACACCCAUGUGAAAAUGGUAAACCCAACACUGGAGAGGGAGAGACAGAAAUACUCCUGGGACUUUUCAGCCAGCCAUCCUAGCAGAAUUGGCAAGCCCCAAAUUCAGUGAGAGAAGCUAUCUCUAAAAACAAGGUGGAAAUCGGUUGAAGACAAUUGCCGUCAACCUCCGGGUUCCACGUGCACAUGCAGGCAGGCACAAAUGUCCAUGCCCAUACAAAACAUGAAAAAGUGGUCAUUAUACAGUCAAUACAUACUCAAUAAUUUUUAAAUAUCUUUCCUGAUGGCAUUUGCUUCCUAUAACUCAGCCUUAUAAACUAAUGGAUUUGUUUGAUUUUACUUUUAUGUUUAUUUACAUUUGAAAAGAUUUUUAGAUAAUUCUUUGAGACUUUCAUAUAUUUUUAUCAUAUUCAUCCCUACUUCCCCAACUUCUCCCAAAUCUACUCUUUCCAUUCCUACCUUGUUUUGUUUGUUUGUUUGUUUGUUUGUUUGUUUGUUUGUUUUGAGACAGGGUUUCUCUGUGUAGUUUUGGUGCCUGUCCUGGAUCCUGCUCUGUAGACCAGGCUGGCCUCGAACUCACAGAGAUCCUAAAGGCGUGUGCCACCACCGCCCGGCCCAUUCCUACCUUCUUACCUCCCAACUUUGAAUCGCCUCUGUCCCCCCUCCCUCCUCCUCUCCCUUCUUUAAACACAUCAGUCCGACCUGUGCUAUCCAUAUAUUAUUGGCAGUGGGGCUUUCCAUGAAGUGUGGUUCACUUACCAUGGGUAACAUCAUGAAACAAAAGUGACUGUCCUCUCCCAGAACUUAUGUAAUACCAAUAGCUUCUCAGCCAGUGGUGGGAUUUUCAUGCCCACAUCCCUCCCAUUCCAUGCUGGCACUUUGUCUAGCUUGAGCAUUUGGAGGUCUUGUGCAUGCUGUCAUAAUUGCCGUAAGUUUAUGUGUGCAAGUGCCUUGUUGUGUCCAGAAAACACUAAUAUUAUCCACCAUGUCUGGGUCUUACAGUCUUUCCAGCUACCCCAUGUUCCUAGGAUAUCACUGAGCUUUUGGGAGAGGGGUAUGAGUGCACCCUCUUUCUCUCUCUCUGUCUCUGUCUCUCUGUCUCUGUCUCUGUCUCUCUGUCUCUCUCUGUCUCUGUCUCUCUGUCUCUCUGUCUCUCUCUGUAUGUGUGUGUGUUUUAUAAUGGGUAGACAAUAACCCAACUAGACACCAUAUGCUAGUGAAUAAAAAAACAAACAAACAACAACAACAAUAACAAAAAAAACAAAAAAAAAAACAGUACCAGAAAGGGGUUACUUCUUUUCAGGUUGUUGGCCAAUGAGUCUAUAAAUUUUA
Molecule: long non-coding RNA, 3052 nt
Organism: Peromyscus maniculatus bairdii (prairie deer mouse)
Lineage: Eukaryota; Metazoa; Chordata; Mammalia; Rodentia; Cricetidae
Source: RefSeq, a predicted model, not a curated record